AAAUUUCUCUCGCUCUCCCAUCGUAGUGUCUUCACAGCAACCGCAUUGUCUCCCUCGUCCACGCCUUUGUCGCACUUGUGCUUUGCAUGCUCUCUCUCCAUGACUGGCAGCGGCCCUUCCCUUGCCUUGCCCACGCAGGUGAGAGGAAGAAAUUCUCACACCUGAAAGAAAGAUGAGAUCUUCGGAGCAAUCAAGGUAUCAUCUACGAUUUCUUGUGCUGUCUUAUGAAAAGCCUCACUCUUUCUAGUUUUAGCUGGCUUUAGUUGGGGAUUUCGGCCUUAACGUUGCUCCAGUUUUACUCGGACGCAUUUCAGCCAUAUCCCCUCAAAAGGGAGAGUAACAAACCUCCAUCUCUCAUGAACACGGUAAACCAGCUUCUUUCUCUUCCAACACAACGAC
This 399-nucleotide long non-coding RNA is filed under the name Selaginella moellendorffii. RNAcentral describes it as "long non-coding RNA (SMOE_LNC002413)". The record is from RNAcentral. Lineage: Eukaryota; Viridiplantae; Streptophyta; Lycopodiopsida; Selaginellales; Selaginellaceae.